This 887-nucleotide ribosomal RNA is filed under the name Methylobacterium aquaticum. RNAcentral describes it as "bacterial LSU rRNA". It matches the Rfam family "Bacterial large subunit ribosomal RNA", at positions 1 to 884 of the family's 2925-position model. Lineage: Bacteria; Pseudomonadati; Pseudomonadota; Alphaproteobacteria; Hyphomicrobiales; Methylobacteriaceae. The record is from RNAcentral.
GAGCGAUCAAGUGCCUUAAGAGCAUCUGGUGGAUGCCUUGGCGCUGAGAGGCGAUGAAGGACGUGGUACGCUGCGAUAAGCCUUGGGGAGCUGCGAACGAGCUUUGAUCCGAGGAUCUCCGAAUGGGGAAACCCACCUUCAGCCACCGUAUCGUGGGUUCAUGGGAAACCAUGCAUCUGCGCUACGAUGGUUUACGAAGGUAUCAAAUCCUGAAUCCAUAGGGGUUUGAAGCGAACCCGGGGAACUGAAACAUCUCAGUACCCGGAGGAAAGGACAUCAACGAGACUCCGUCAGUAGUGGCGAGCGAACGCGGACCAGGCCAGCGCCUGGCAUGACGCUUACCGGAACGGUCUGGAAUGGCCGGCGCAAUGGGUGACAGCCCCGUACGGGACAAGCCAAUGCCAGGACACGAGUAAGGCGGGACACGUGAAAUCCUGUCUGAAGAUGGGGGGACCACCCUCCAAGCCUAAGUACUCCUCAGCGACCGAUAGCGAACCAGUACCGUGAGGGAAAGGUGAAAAGCACCCCGACGAGGGGAGUGAAACAGUUCCUGAAACCGGAUGCUUACAAACAGUGGGAGCCCAAGAUUCGUUCUGGGUGACUGCGUACCUUUUGUAUAAUGGGUCAGCGACUUAGAGUUACGAGCAAGCUUAAGCCGGUAGGCGAAGGCGCAGCGAAAGCGAGUCUGAACAGGGCGUUCAGUUCGUGGCUCUAGACCCGAAACCAGGUGAUCUAGCCAUGCGCAGGAUGAAGGUGCGGUAACACGCACUGGAGGUCCGAACCAGUGCCCGUUGAAAAGGUCUUGGAUGACGUGUGGUUAGGGGUGAAAGGCCAAUCAAACCUGGACAUAGCUGGUUCUCCGCGAAAGCUAUUUAGGUAGCGCCUCG